Glycine soja is the source of this 2041-nucleotide RNA transcript. It is a transcript of the gene named protein NRT1/ PTR FAMILY 5.10-like, with no coding region annotated. The transcript is spliced from 3 exons. NCBI's taxonomy places the organism in Eukaryota, Viridiplantae, Streptophyta, Magnoliopsida, Fabales, Fabaceae. The record is from RefSeq and is a predicted model, not a curated record.
GAGUACUACUUCAGUCAAAUUAUAGGGUAUCGAUGUAAAUAUGCUGUCUCCUAUUUGGAAUUUGUGUGUCAUGCUGUCCAACUAAUCAGAAUUUAGAAGAAAUUGCCCUUUAACGUGGUUGCCGAAAUUAACAGAGCAAGCACGUUUUGAACAGGUGAAGAGAUGCGAUGAGGGUAAGCUAGUAGCAAGAGUGAGAAGAAUAGGAGGAUGGAGAAUUGGGAAACGGAGGAGGUUGAAGGUGAAAGUCCCCUUCCGGUUCUGGAGGCUGUUGACUACAGAGGUGGAGCCUCGGUGAGAUCGAAAUCUGGGUCAUGGAGAUCCGCUGGGUUUAUCAUAGGUGUGGAAGUGGCGGAGAGGAUUGCAUAUUAUGGGAUUCAGGGGAACCUCAUAACCUACCUCACGGGCCCACUCCAUCAGACUACUGCCACCGCCGCCGAGAAUGUUAAUAUCUGGUCAGGAACUGCUUCCUUGCUUCCUCUCUUUGGGGCUUUCCUUGCUGAUUCUCUUCUCGGCCGCUACCGCACUAUAAUACUCGCUUCCUUCAUCUAUAUUUUGGGACUAGGCUUGUUAACACUAUCAGCUAUGCUUCCCUCUCCCACCGGUUCUGAGUGCCAAGUUGGCAAUGAAUUCAAAUCAUGCUCUCCUCAGUCGCAAAUAGUUUUGUUCUUUAUCUCUCUUUAUUUGGUCGCCAUUGGGCAAGGUGGGCAUAAGCCCUGUGUUCAGGCUUUUGGAGCAGAUCAAUUCGAUGAAAAACAUCCAAAGGAGUACAAAGAUAGAAGCUCUUUCUUUAUUGGUGGUAUUUUACUAUGUGUGCAGGUUGCAUGGCAACUCUUUCCAUCUUGAACUAUAUACAAGAUAACCUAAGUUGGGUUCUUGGAUUUGGAAUUCCUUGUGUUGCCAUGAUUAUUGCAUUGCUUGUUUUCAUGCUUGGAACAGUGACCUACAGGUUUAACAUUCAGCAGCGUGGCAAAAGCCCCUUUCUCAGAAUUGGCCGUGUAUUUGUUGCUGCUAUAAGAAAUCGCCGAUCCACCCUGUCAAGCACAGCUGUCAAAGCAGAACAAUUUGAGUUCCUCAACAAAGCAUUGUUAGUGCCAGAGGAUUCUAUAGAAGACGAGAGUUGUAGCCUUAGUGAGGUGGAAGAAGCAAAAGCAGUACUAAGGCUGGUUCCUAUUUGGGCUACAACUCUGGUUUAUGCUGUGGUGUUUGCUCAAGUUCCUACGUUCUUUACCAAGCAAGGGAUUACUAUGGAGAGAACAAUAUUUCCCGGCUUUGACAUACCCGCCGCUUCUCUUCAAACGCUUGUCACUGUGGCCAUUGUUCUCUUCAGCCCCAUCUAUGACCGCCUAUUUGUGCCAAUGGCAAGAGCUAUUACUGGCAAACCCUCGGGAAUCACAAUGCUGCAAAGAAUUGGGACUGGAAUAUCUAUAUCCAUAUUUACCAUAGUAUUUGCAGCCCUUGUUGAGAUGAAAAGAUUGAAAACAGCUCAAGAGUCUGGUGUUGUUGAUGAACCUAAUGCAACUGUUCCAAUGAGUAUAUGGUGGUUGAUUCCCCAAUAUUUCUUGUUCGGAGUCUCUGAAGUUUUUACCAUGGUUGGUCUGCAGGAAUUUUUCUAUGACCAGGUCCCAAAUGAACUAAGAAGCAUGGGUCUUGCUCUCUACUUGAGCAUCUUUGGUGUUGGGAGCUUUAUAAGUGGCUUUCUCAUUUCUGUGAUAGAGAAACUGUCUGGCAAAGAUGGACAAGACAGUUGGUUUGCCAAUAAUCUGAAUAAGGCGCAUGUUGAUUACUUUUAUUGGCUACUUGCUGGACUCAGUGUAAUGGGAUUGGCCUUGUUCAUUUGCUCUGCUAAAUCCUACAUUUACAAUCACCAAGGAAUCAGACGAGAAUUGUGAAUUGUCCGGUUCUGUCAAUUUUAGCUUUACUGUAUGGGAUGAAAAAUUAUAUUCUGUAUAAGGUACGAGUAUUUGUAUAUAAAAACCUCUGGACCUGGUGAAUUGUCAAUUCAUUUGCAUUCUGUUCAAGAUACGGGUUCUUUUUUCCCAUA